RNAcentral lists this ribosomal RNA (770 nucleotides) under uncultured archaeon. Its description in RNAcentral is "bacterial SSU rRNA". It matches the Rfam family "Archaeal small subunit ribosomal RNA", at positions 98 to 869 of the family's 1478-position model. The record is from RNAcentral.
ACGUGGACAACGUGCCCUUAAGAGGAGGAUAAUCUCGGGAAAUUGAGGAUAAUACUCCAUAGAUCAUGGGAUCUGGAACGACCCAUGGUUCAAAGUUCCGGCGCUUAAGGAUCGGUCUGCGGCCUAUCAGGUAGUAGUGGGUGUAACGUACCUACUAGCCUACGACGGGUAUGGGCCUUGAGAGAGGGAGCCCAGAGUUGGAUUCUGAGACACGAAUCCAGGCCCUACGGGGCGCAGCAGUCGCGAAAACUUCACAAUGGGGGCAACCCCGAUGAGGGAAUUCCUAGUGCUAGUACUUUUUGUAUUAGCUUUUCUUCAGCUUAGAAAACUGAUGGAAUAAGGGCUGGGUAAGACGGGUGUCAGCCGCCGCGGUAAUACCUGCAGCCCAAGUGGUGGUCGAUUUUAUUGAGUCUAAAACGUUCGUAGCCGGUUUGAUAAAUCCUUGGGUAAAUCGAGAAGCUUAACUUUUCGAAUUCCGAGGAGACUGUCAAACUUGGGACCGGGAGAGGCUAGAGGUACUUCUGGGGUAGGGGUAAAAUCCUGUAAUCCUAGAAGGACCACCGGUGGCGAAGGCGUCUAGCUAGAACGGAUCCGACGGUGAGGGACGAAGCCCUGGGGCGCAAACGGGAUUAGAUACCCCGGUAGUCCAGGGUGUAAACGCUGCAGACUUGGUGUUGGAGACCCUUCGAGGGUAUUCAGUGCCGGAGAGAAGUUGUUAAGUCUGCUACUUGGGGAGUACGUCCGCAAGGAUGAAACUUAAAGGAAUUGCG